CAGUCGCCGCGGUAAUACGUAGGUGGCAAGCGUUGUCCAGAAUUAUUGGGCGUAAAGGGCUCGCAGGCGGUUUCUUAAGUCUGAUGUGAAAGCCCCCGGCUCAACCGGGGAGGGUCAUUGGAACCUGGGAAACUUGAGUGCAGAAGAGGAGAGUGGAAUUCCACGUGUAGCGGUGAAAUGCGUAGAGAUGUGGAGGAACACCAGUGGCGAAGGCGACUCUCUGGUCUGUAACUGACGCUGAGGAGCGAAAGCGUGGGGAGCGAACAGGAUUAGAGACCCCGGUAGUCCCUGUCUUUAUACA
This 301-nucleotide ribosomal RNA is filed under the name uncultured bacterium. Its description in RNAcentral is "partial 16S ribosomal RNA". It matches the Rfam family "Bacterial small subunit ribosomal RNA", at positions 509 to 809 of the family's 1533-position model. The record is from RNAcentral.